This 74-nucleotide transfer RNA is filed under the name Ipomoea nil (Japanese morning glory). It matches the Rfam family "tRNA". From Rfam's summary of the family: Transfer RNA (tRNA) molecules are approximately 80 nucleotides in length. Their secondary structure includes four short double-helical elements and three loops (D, anti-codon, and T loops). The record is from Rfam by way of RNAcentral. Lineage: Eukaryota; Viridiplantae; Streptophyta; Magnoliopsida; Solanales; Convolvulaceae.
UCCGUUGUAGUGUUGUUGGUUAGGAUACUCGGCUUUCAGCCGAGAGACUCGGGUUUUAAUUCCUGGCAACGGAA